GAGUAAUGCCUAGAUAUCUGCCUAGUCGUGGGGGAUAACNGUUGGAAACGACUGCUAAUACCGCAUACGCCCUACGGGGGAAAGGAGGGGACCUUCGGGCCUUUCGCGAUUAGAUGAGUCUAGGUGGGAUUAGCUAGUAGGUGAGGUAAUGGCUCACCUAGGCGACGAUCCCUAGCUGUUCUGAGAGGAUGAUCAGCCACACUGGGACUGAGACACGGCCCAGACUCCUACGGGAGGCAGCAGUGGGGAAUAUUGCACAAUGGGCGAAAGCCUGAUGCANCCAUGCCGCGUGUGUGAAGAAGGCCUUCGGGUUGUAAAGCACUUUCAGCGAGGAGGAAAGGUUGUGUGUUAAUAGCACAUAGCUGUGACGUUACUCGCANAANAAGCACCGGCUAACUUCGUGCCAGCAGCCGCGGUAAUACGAGGGGUGCAAGCGUUAAUCGGAAUUACUGGGCGUAAAGCGUACGCAGGCGGUUUGUUAAGCCAGAUGUGAAAGCCCCGGGCUC
This 506-nucleotide ribosomal RNA is filed under the name Shewanella sp. WH009151s. RNAcentral's name for it is "bacterial SSU rRNA". It matches the Rfam family "Bacterial small subunit ribosomal RNA", at positions 108 to 610 of the family's 1533-position model. The record is from RNAcentral. Lineage: Bacteria; Pseudomonadati; Pseudomonadota; Gammaproteobacteria; Alteromonadales; Shewanellaceae.